Octodon degus (degu) is the source of this 1144-nucleotide long non-coding RNA. RefSeq lists it as uncharacterized. Lineage: Eukaryota; Metazoa; Chordata; Mammalia; Rodentia; Octodontidae. The record is from RefSeq and is a predicted model, not a curated record. The transcript has 3 exons.
CAGGAGACAGUAUGACCAUCCAGUUAGCAAUGAGGGGAACAGCAGAAACUGAGGGGUCAGCUGUAACUCCUCCAAUCUCCCAUCACCACAACAGCCUGUACCAAAUCGGUCCAUUUGAUAAGACGACUUGAGUUUUUCCACCCCCUCCAACUCCACGGCACUCACCCUUGGUCCAAGAAGAGGUGAUACAGGUGGACAUAAAAGGGAAAUCAGCCUGUGAAGGGCUCCUCGAGGAGGAGGAGACCCCUGGAUGGCACACGCUCCAGGGAGCGGGUUUCUGAGCACAGGAGUUUUCCUGCUCUAGUGCCAGUCUCUGGUCUCCUUGGAGAAGGCCCACGGACGGGGUUGGAAGAGGAUGAAAAUUCGAGUUGACUGUAAGAUGGGCUGGCUUCUCCCUCAGGACCAGCCCUCCCCAGCCCUCAGGUCUUGCUCUGCCCACCAGGGGGUGCUGGGUCAGAGCAGGCCCAGCUGGCAUGGUCUUCAGGUGGCUGGCUGGGAUACUCAAGCUCCACCCCUGUCCGGACCUUUGCUCCCAGCCUAAUAGCACUGGCCUUGUCACCAUGACAACCUCUUAGUUUGGAAUAAACAGAGCUCUUUUGCCUCCUGCCCAGUUUAUUGACACCCAAGUGUCUCCCCAGGGAUGGGCUGGAAUUUCAAAUGUUCUGGGGCCCCCAGGGGAGGCCCAAGGAUGACGUGUCACUGGAUUUUGGCUCCUUUCCACCCCUCACUGUCCUUUGCCUUGCCUUGCCCCUCCCUCCUGCCACCCUGUGUCCUGCUGGAGCUGGGAGGGAGGAGAAAAUCUGGGACUCACCAGAGGGUGUGAAGUGAAGCGAGGGGAGCCCGCUUCUAGGCCAUUUCCAAAACCUAGCUGUAAUCCCUGGGAUUCAAGAGACUGUCACAGAUGGCUUCUUCCCUAUCAUCUGUAUCCUUGGGGGUCCAGGAGGAGGGAGUGGAGAGGAUGGGGAGCAAGGAUCUGUGGGACAGCAGAUAGGGAUCGGAGUGGAGCAUGCACUUGGACAGGACACAUGGUAGGAUACUGCACGUUCAUUCACUCAGUGAAUCAAGGAAGUUCCCAGCGGUGUGUGUGGGAAAUCAGAACUGCUAUAAAUCUUUGCCUUGCCUUGGAGGAGGGUGCCUUAGAGCU